This 221-nucleotide unclassified non-coding RNA is filed under the name Hevea brasiliensis (rubber tree). The record is from RNAcentral. Lineage: Eukaryota; Viridiplantae; Streptophyta; Magnoliopsida; Malpighiales; Euphorbiaceae.
UGUGAUUAUAAAAAUGGGAAGGGAAUCUCAAUAAACAACAGAUGGUUGAUUGUCACUGACGUAGCACUUUAGCAGUGAGUUUUCAGGAAAAUUUUUGUCUCAUUACCCACCAAGUGGAACAGAUCUUCUUUCUUAGAACUGCCACUCGAUCAUAGACAUGUAUUUAUGCAAUAUUGAAUAUUCCCCAGUUACAAAAGAUGCUGACAGGUUACAAUUAGUUG